GUGCCAGCAGCCGCGGUAAUACGUAGGGCGCAAGCGUUAUCCGGAAUUAUUGGGCGUAAAGAGCUCGUAGGCGGUUUGUCGCGUCUGCCGUGAAAGUCCGGGGCUUAACUCCGGAUCUGCGGUGGGUACGGGCAGACUAGAGUGCAGUAGGGGAGACUGGAAUUCCUGGUGUAGCGGUGAAAUGCGCAGAUAUCAGGAGGAACACCGAUGGCGAAGGCAGGUCUCUGGGCUGUAACUGACGCUGAGGAGCGAAAGCAUGGGGAGCGAACAGGAUUAGAUACCCUGGUAGUCC
This 292-nucleotide ribosomal RNA is filed under the name uncultured microorganism. Its description in RNAcentral is "partial 16S ribosomal RNA". It matches the Rfam family "Bacterial small subunit ribosomal RNA", at positions 505 to 796 of the family's 1533-position model. The record is from RNAcentral.